RNAcentral lists this ribosomal RNA (377 nucleotides) under uncultured organism. RNAcentral's name for it is "partial 16S ribosomal RNA". It matches the Rfam family "Bacterial small subunit ribosomal RNA", at positions 527 to 896 of the family's 1533-position model. The record is from RNAcentral.
GUAGGUGGCAAGCGUUGUCCGGAAUUAUUGGGCGUAAAGCGCGCGCAGGCGGUCCUUUAAGUCUGAUGUGAAAGCCCACGGCUCAACCGUGGAGGGUCAUUGGAAACUGGGGGACUUGAGUACGAGAAGAGGAAAGCGGAAUUCCAAGUGUAGCGGUGAAAUGCGUAGAGAUUUGGAGGAACACCAGUGGCGAAGGCGGCUUUCUGGUCUGUAACUGACGCUGAGGCGCGAAAGCGUGGGGAGCAAACAGGAUUAGAUACCCUGGUAGUCCACGCCGUAAACGAUGAGUGCUAAGUGUUAGGGGGUUUCCCGCCCCCCUUAGUGCUGCAGCUAACGCAUUAAGCACUCCGCCUGGGGGAGUACGGCCCGCAAGGCUG